This 1401-nucleotide transfer RNA is filed under the name Sus scrofa (pig). RNAcentral describes it as "lncRNA (ENSSSCG00070019667.1)". Lineage: Eukaryota; Metazoa; Chordata; Mammalia; Artiodactyla; Suidae. The record is from RNAcentral.
ACACACCUAGCUACCUACUUAUCUACCUAUCAUUUACAUUUGAAUUGCUAGUAUUCUAAAAAAAAAACCCAAGAGUUUCCUUCUCGCUAAGGUGCGGUAGCAGAGCUCAAGAACCGGAGGCACCAUCGGACUGUCUGGGCGACCAGCAUUCCCAGGACGCCGACGUGCUGCGGAGCCUCCUGGGAAGUGUAGUUUAGACGUACCUUCCUCUUGCGCACGCGCAGCCCACUGGCGCUCUGGUGGGGUGUCCUCUUUGUCUUUGCCUCCGCGCUCGAGCCCGUAUGCGCGUGCCCGAGGUCGUGUGCGCGCGGUUCCCCUGCGCUACUGGGGCCUGUCGUCGGUAUCCCGCGGGUUCGCCCGGAUCGCGCAAAGGCCGGGGGCGGGGCUGUCACGUGGCCCCCUGUCCCGGGCGUCUGCCGUCCGAGGCCGUUUUUGCAGAGCCUGAUCUGAGUGGGAACUGCAGAUGAUGAUGAAGGUGCCCCUCCCUCCUGAAGGUACUGUGAGAGCACUGUCACAGGGAGCACCGUGUGGCUGAGCAGGAACCUGCCCAGGUAAGGACACACCAAUGUUGUUGAAAUGGGCCAGACUGUGCAGUGAAGGGCUUAGGCUAUCAUUGGCUGGAGGGACAUGUGAGUCAAGUAUAAGAGUGAUGGGCGGGGCGGGGGGGGGAUUUCUCCCUCAAGAGCCAACUUGCAAAAACAGUUGGUUAAAGUAAAGUAAGGUUGAAGCUAUAUUGUUCUGAGUCACAAACUUAAAUAUCAGAAAUAUUUAUUUAUUUAUUUUGGCCAUGCCUGUAGCAUGCAGAAUUUCCUGGGCAAGGAUUGAACCUGUGCCACAGCAGGGACCUGAGUCACAGCACUGACAACACUGGAUUCUUAAUCCACUGAGCCACCAGGAACUCCCUCAGAACUUUUUUUUUCCUUCCCCAUCCCCCGAGGCAUUUGGCUUUCUUGGGCCAGGGGUCAGAUGUUUAAUCCUUUUUUUUUUUGUCUUUUUAGGGCCACACCUGUGACACAUGGAGGUUCCCAGGCUAGCAGUUGAAUCAGAGCCAGAUCUGAGUUGCGCCUGUGACCUACACCACAGCUCACAGGCAACACCAGAUCCUUAACCCACUGAGCGAGGCGAGGGAUUGAACCCACAAUCUCGUGGUUCCUAGUUGGAUUCAUUUCCGUUGCACCACGAUGGGAACCCCCAUAAUCCUUUAACUCACUGUGCUGGACUGGGGCAUCUUUGUCCUGGUCCUGCAGAGUUGCCGCUGAUCCCAUUGCUGCACAGCGGGAACUCCAGAAAUAUUUCAGAACUCCCAUGUUGAUGGCUUGUCUCACUCUGUCCACCUGAAAUUCCCAAGUCUGUGUGUUCAAUCCCUCGCCUCGCUCAGUGGGUUAAGGAUCUGGUGUUGCC